RNAcentral lists this ribosomal RNA (433 nucleotides) under uncultured bacterium. RNAcentral describes it as "partial 16S ribosomal RNA". It matches the Rfam family "Bacterial small subunit ribosomal RNA", at positions 29 to 507 of the family's 1533-position model. The record is from RNAcentral.
AACGAACGCUGGCGGCAUGCCUAACACAUGCAAGUCGAACGAGACCUGCGGGUCUAGUGGCGCACGGGUGCGUAACGCGUGGGAACCUGCCCUUAGGUUCGGAAUAACUCCCCGAAAGGGGUGCUAAUACCGGAUGAUGUCUUCGGACCAAUGAUUUAUCGCCUUUGGAUGGGCCCGCGUUGGAUUAGCUAGUUGGUAGGGUAAAAGCCUACCAAGGCGACGAUCCAUAGCUGGUCUGAGAGGAUGAUCAGCCACACUGGGACUGAGACACGGCCCAGACUCCUACGGGAGGCAGCAGUGGGGAAUAUUGGACGAUGGGCGAAAGCCUGAUCCAGCAAUGCCGCGUGAGUGAUGAAGGCCUUAGGGUUGUAAAGCUCUUUUACCCGGGAUGAUAAUGACAGUACCGGGAGAAUAAGCUCCGGCUAACUCCGUG